This is a long non-coding RNA of Archocentrus centrarchus (flier cichlid), 505 nucleotides long. RefSeq lists it as uncharacterized. The transcript has 4 exons. NCBI's taxonomy places the organism in Eukaryota, Metazoa, Chordata, Actinopteri, Cichliformes, Cichlidae. The record is from RefSeq and is a predicted model, not a curated record.
CCGAAGUUUGUAGGUAGUGUGGAAGCAUGCGUUUUGUGGUUGCGCAAGCGGCCCGCGAAAUGGUUGUUUUUAAUUUAUUUCUGCCGUUAUUUUUAUGCGUGUUUUUUAGUUAUUAUUAUACUUGAGUGCAAGCACGUAUGUGAUGGAAGGGUGUGAAAUUGUACUAAACGAGGGGCUGCACGUUGGAGCAGCGUGACUGGACUAGGCCGCAUGUGCAGGGAAAAGGUGAAGGCUGCUGACAAAAUCGGAUGGAUGGGGUGUUUUCUGCACGUCCACACGUGGACAGGGUGGUGACAUGGACCGCCACGUCCAGCAGUACUUCAAGAUGAGGGGCUGCACCAUCAGUGUGGGUGGAUGUCCAGGAUAACUGCACAGGAUGAGCCUAUAUUGCUCAAGAAGUGGACCCCAGCCUUGAAGUUAGUGACUCGGAUGAUCAUGUGUGCCCCCCCCCUUUUCCCUCCCGUUCUUUGUCCUAAAAUGAGAAUAAAGCCUUUUUUUUCCCCCA